This is a long non-coding RNA of Coregonus clupeaformis (lake whitefish), 1169 nucleotides long. RefSeq lists it as uncharacterized. NCBI's taxonomy places the organism in Eukaryota, Metazoa, Chordata, Actinopteri, Salmoniformes, Salmonidae. The record is from RefSeq and is a predicted model, not a curated record. The transcript is spliced from 6 exons.
CUUGUGUCGAAGGUGUCGGCAGGAACUUCAAGUUAUUGAUUCACUAAAACAAACUUUGCUAUACACGUUAACCUGAUGAUAAUUUUCAUUGUGACUAAGUCAAAUGAAAACCGUUCGAGGUGAUUUUGAAACUUUUUGUCAACGAAAUUGCUUGUGAUUAUGGGGGAGAGGACUUCGCAAUACAGUUACCAAAAGGGCUAUGCAAGUGCAGUUUCAUUUAGGGACAGGAGAUGGCGCUGUUCACUCAUCUCAGGCUCCAGUUGCGGUGUAUGACAAUACCUCAGCGGUACGACAGUGUGUGAAUGGAGUGGAUCUAUUCUACCAGCAGACUGGAACAGGAGCGCAUGCUUCGUUACUACUGCCUGGAGCUCUGGGAAGUGCUCAGACUGACUUUGGGCCGCAGCUGAAGUCUGUUAAUAAGGAAUUCUUCAGGGUCAUUGGCUGGGACCUUCGCAGGUACAGAAACUUCCGCCUCCCGGAGAGACUUCCCUCUGGACUUCUUUGAAAGGGAUGCCCAGGAUGCUGUGGACCUGAUGCAGGUCUGACCAAUCAGUGCAGAGUGAUUUUCCUUUUUACACAGUGAUAAAAAUGACUUACAUUAACUACACAGCUGCCUCUCACUCUCUGUUUGUGUGAUGGACGGUAAGUUCUGUUUUUCGUUUUUACUCAUUAGCAAAUGUGUGUCUUUGUCAUCUUUGCUCAUCUGUGAAUGUGUGCCUUUUUUCUCUGUGUUUCUCUGUGACUGUGUGUUUUCUCCUUCAGGCGUUGAGUUUCCCAGGUUCUCUCUGUUGGCCUGGAGUGAUAGAGCCAAGAACCCCUCUCUGAUCAAUAAGAUGGUGGUGUGGGGCUCCAACGCAUAUGUCUCACCCCAAGACAAACAUCUACAGUGCGAUCCAUGAUGUGUCUCAGUGGAGUGAGAGGAUGAGGAGGCCCAUGGAGGAGGUAUAUGCGGCAGAGCUCUUCAUUAAGACCUGGGAAGGAUGGGUGGACGGGAAUGGACAGUUCGCCCAGAGACCAGAAGGUUGCACCUGAUGCCGGAAGGACAAUACAACCUGCACCUGAGGUUUGCUGUUGGAAGACGUCCUAAGCAAGUGAUAGACAUACUGUCUGCGUCCCAAAUGGUACUGUAUUCCUAUUGACCAUGGCCCAUAGGGUUCUGUUCAAAAGAA